UACGAAGGGUGCUAGCGUUGUUCGGAAUUACUGGGCGUAAAAGCGCGCGUAGGCGGCUUGUCAAGUCAGGGGGUGAAAAUCCUGGGGGCUUAACCCCCAGAAUUGCCCUUUUGAAAACUGUCAGGCUGGAGUGUCGGAGGGGGAUAGCGGAAUUGCUAAUGUAGAGGUGAAAAUUCGUAGAUAUUAGCAGGAACACCGGUGGCGAAAGGCGGCUAUCUGGACGACAACUGACGCUGAGGCGCGAA
Molecule: ribosomal RNA, 245 nt
Filed under: uncultured bacterium
Lineage: Bacteria
Description: partial 16S ribosomal RNA
Rfam family: Bacterial small subunit ribosomal RNA
Source: RNAcentral